This 29-nucleotide small RNA is filed under the name Bombyx mori (domestic silkworm). Its description in RNAcentral is "ovarian small RNA-30069". Lineage: Eukaryota; Metazoa; Arthropoda; Insecta; Lepidoptera; Bombycidae. The record is from RNAcentral.
UCUUAAAGGCUUUGUCUCCUCUAGUGAGC